Molecule: ribosomal RNA, 677 nt
Filed under: uncultured Alphaproteobacteria bacterium
Lineage: Bacteria; Pseudomonadati; Pseudomonadota; Alphaproteobacteria
Description: bacterial SSU rRNA
Rfam family: Bacterial small subunit ribosomal RNA
Source: RNAcentral
UAACACAUGCAAGUCGAACGAGACCUUCGGGUCUAGUGGCGCACGGGUGCGUAACGCGUGGGAAUCUGCCCUUAGGUUCGGAAUAACAGUGGGAAACUACUGCUAAUACCGGAUGAUGACGUAAGUCCAAAGAUUUAUCGCCUAGGGAUGAGCCCGCGUAGGAUUAGCUAGUUGGUGGGGUAAAGGCCUACCAAGGCGACGAUCCUUAGCUGGUCUGAGAGGAUGAUCAGCCACACUGGGACUGAGACACGGCCCAGACUCCUACGGGAGGCAGCAGUGGGGAAUAUUGGACAAUGGGCGAAAGCCUGAUCCAGCAAUGCCGCGUGAGUGAUGAAGGCCUUAGGGUUGUAAAGCUCUUUUACCCGGGAAGAUAAUGACUGUACCGGGAGAAUAAGCCCCGGCUAACUCCGUGCCAGCAGCCGCGGUAAUACGGAGGGGGCUAGCGUUGUUCGGAAUUACUGGGCGUAAAGCGUACGUAGGCGGCUUUUUAAGUUAGAGGUGAAAGCCCGGGGCUCAACUCCGGAAUUGCCUUUAAGACUGGAUCGCUUGAACGUCGGAGAGGUGAAUGGAAUUCCGAGUGUAGAGGUGAAAUUCGUAGAUAUUCGGAAGAACACCAGUGGCGAAGGCGGCUCACUGGACGACUGUUGACGCUGAGGUACGAAAGCGUGGGGAGCAAA